UCCGGUGGUUAUAGCUUUUCGGUCCCACCCGAUCCCAUCCCGAACUCGGACGUGAAACGAAAACGCGCUGAUGGUACUUAAGCUUAAGCUUUGGAAGAGUAGGUCGCUGCCGGGU
RNAcentral lists this ribosomal RNA (115 nucleotides) under Alphaproteobacteria bacterium. The record is from RNAcentral. Lineage: Bacteria; Pseudomonadati; Pseudomonadota; Alphaproteobacteria.